RNAcentral lists this ribosomal RNA (854 nucleotides) under Acinetobacter guillouiae. RNAcentral's name for it is "bacterial SSU rRNA". It matches the Rfam family "Bacterial small subunit ribosomal RNA", at positions 22 to 868 of the family's 1533-position model. Lineage: Bacteria; Pseudomonadati; Pseudomonadota; Gammaproteobacteria; Moraxellales; Moraxellaceae. The record is from RNAcentral.
GCUCAGAUUGAACGCUGGCGGCAGGCUUAACACAUGCAAGUCGAGCGGGGGAGAUUGCUUCGGUAAUUGACCUAGCGGCGGACGGGUGAGUAAUACUUAGGAAUCUGCCUAUUAAUGGGGGACAACAUCUCGAAAGGGAUGCUAAUACCGCAUACGCCCUACGGGGGAAAGCAGGGGAUCACUUGUGACCUUGCGUUAAUAGAUGAGCCUAAGUCGGAUUAGCUAGUUGGUGGGGUAAAGGCCUACCAAGGCGACGAUCUGUAGCGGGUCUGAGAGGAUGAUCCGCCACACUGGGACUGAGACACGGCCCAGACUCCUACGGGAGGCAGCAGUGGGGAAUAUUGGACAAUGGGGGGAACCCUGAUCCAGCCAUGCCGCGUGUGUGAAGAAGGCCUUAUGGUUGUAAAGCACUUUAAGCGAGGAGGAGGCUCCUGUAGUUAAUACCUACAGUGAGUGGACGUUACUCGCAGAAUAAGCACCGGCUAACUCUGUGCCAGCAGCCGCGGUAAUACAGAGGGUGCGAGCGUUAAUCGGAUUUACUGGGCGUAAAGCGUGCGUAGGCGGCUUUUUAAGUCGGAUGUGAAAUCCCCGAGCUUAACUUGGGAAUUGCAUUCGAUACUGGGAAGCUAGAGUAUGGGAGAGGAUGGUAGAAUUCCAGGUGUAGCGGUGAAAUGCGUAGAGAUCUGGAGGAAUACCGAUGGCGAAGGCAGCCAUCUGGCCUAAUACUGACGCUGAGGUACGAAAGCAUGGGGAGCAAACAGGAUUAGAUACCCUGGUAGUCCAUGCCGUAAACGAUGUCUACUAGCCGUUGGGGCCUUUGAGGCUUUAGUGGCGCAGCUAACGCGAUAAGUAGA